Molecule: ribosomal RNA, 361 nt
Filed under: uncultured bacterium
Lineage: Bacteria
Description: bacterial SSU rRNA
Rfam family: Bacterial small subunit ribosomal RNA
Source: RNAcentral
AAAGGAAUAACCAGUGGGAAACUCUGGCUGAAUACCGCAUAAGCCUGAGAAGGGAAAGCAGCAAUGCUGCUGAGAGAGGAGCGCCCGCGGCCGAUUAGCUAGUUGGUGGAUAAGAGCCCACUCAAGGCAGAGGCAUCGGUAGCCGGCCUGAGAGGGCACACGGCCACACUGGCACUUGAAACACGGCGGCCAGACUCCUACGGGAGGCAGCAGUGGGGAAUCUUGCACAUAUGGGGGGCAAACCCUGAUGCAGCGACGCCGCGUGAGCGAUGAAGCCCUUCGGGUGUGUGACAAGCUCUUUCGUCAGGGACGAUAAUGACGGUACCUGGAGAAGCAGCUUGCGGCGCUAACUACGUGCCAG